UCAGAAACUGAGAGCAGAGAGGGGCUUUCAGUCUGGGGUUCAAGCAGCCCUAAAGUUCAGGGGGGUUGAAGCCUGUUUUGGGGUUCAGGGUUGGUUCCAAAGGCCUGAUGGCUGAAAAUCAGGUAUUGCAUCCUACAAGUGCCCCAAACUCCAAGGCUAUGAAAUCUCAAGGAACUGCUUAGCUUUUACCUCAGCGUUUCUAAAGUCCUAGGACCAGAGUCUCAGCUACACUGAAGUCCAUGGAGAUUAGUCACCAUGACGAUUGUCGCUGUGUUCUGCUCCCAAAUCAUUCUCCAGAAAUCAUUUACUGUUUCUUCUUUUGGUCCUAAAAAGACAAAAACCAAACACAGACACACAAAAAGAGAAAGGAACACCACAAUGAAAGAGCAGCCUUCCUCCAAGACAAAGCUGGGUGCACCUCAGCCUCCCUCUCUCUGGAGCACUGCGCCUUGAGUUCACAUCAGCAAACAUACAAGGAUUCCCUUCACUGUGCGUUUUGAGACCACACAUCAUCGCUCUCUCAACUCCGCUGACCCUGGCAACUUGGUAGCAUCCAUACAAGAGGAACCUCGUAUUAGAGCUGCAGAGUGACCUGUUAAUCCUAGCUGUCAGAGUUGAAGGAAAUCUUUCCCCAUUAUCAGCAAUCACAAUGCAGUUUCAAUUGGAUAUGGUGUUCUUCAUUUGCUUCUUGUCCAGCUGUAAGCUGUUAAAAAGCAGUUGCUGUGUUGCACCCCAGAGAUAGCUUCAGUCCCAUGGUGGGUGACUUGAUCCAUUAUUUAUAAUGCAGCAACUUUCAUCUUGAAGGAUCCUACAGCAUUUUACAAACUCUCUCUACCCUAAUCUAAUCUCUCCUAAGAUUGCAAAAUAAAUUGGGAAUCCUUUGGGAUGACAAGUGGUAUUACAAACAUCAGACAUUAUUCCACCCAUAAAUGGUGCUUGGCUUUAUAUGUGGAAUGGGUCAGCACCUGGAAGUGCUGUGUUACAGCAGCCUGUGGCUGGGUGCGCUUCUAGUGGA
This is a long non-coding RNA of Mauremys mutica (yellowpond turtle), 1015 nucleotides long. RefSeq lists it as uncharacterized. The transcript has 3 exons. Lineage: Eukaryota; Metazoa; Chordata; Testudines; Geoemydidae. The record is from RefSeq and is a predicted model, not a curated record.